RNAcentral lists this ribosomal RNA (376 nucleotides) under uncultured bacterium. Its description in RNAcentral is "bacterial SSU rRNA". It matches the Rfam family "Bacterial small subunit ribosomal RNA", at positions 524 to 898 of the family's 1533-position model. The record is from RNAcentral.
UACGAACCGUACGAACGUUAUUCGGAUUCACUGGGCUUAAAGCGUGCGUAGGCGGCUGGGUAAGUUGGAUGUGAAAGCCCUCGGCUCAACCGAGGAAUUGCGUUCAAAACUACCUGGCUUGAGGGAGAUAGAGGUGAGCGGAACUGAUGGUGGAGCGGUGAAAUGCGUUGAUAUCAUCAGGAACACCUGUGGCGAAAGCAGCUCACUGGGUCUUUACUGACGCUGAGGCACGAAAGCUAGGGGAGCGAACGGGAUUAGAUACCCCGGUAGUCCUAGCUGUAAACGAUGAGCACUGGGUUGAGGGGACUUCCACAUCCUCUCGGCCGUAGCGAAAGUGUUAAGUGCUCCGCCUGGGGAGUAUGGUCGCAAGGCUGAA